RNAcentral lists this ribosomal RNA (498 nucleotides) under uncultured bacterium. Its description in RNAcentral is "bacterial SSU rRNA". It matches the Rfam family "Bacterial small subunit ribosomal RNA", at positions 28 to 518 of the family's 1533-position model. The record is from RNAcentral.
GAUGAACGCUAGCGACAGGCCUAACACAUGCAAGUCGAGGGGCAGCACAUGAGUAGCAAUACGAUGGUGGCGACCGGCGCACGGGUGAGUAACACGUAUGCAACCUGCCUGUAAGCGGGGGAUAACCCGGAGAAAUUCGGACUAAUACCGCAUAAUACUGUGAAUUUGCAUGAAUUUACAGUUAAAUAUUUAUAGCUUACAGAUGGGCAUGCGUAUGAUUAGAUAGUUGGUAGGGUAACGGCCUACCAAGUCAACGAUCAUUAGGGGUUCUGAGAGGAAGGUCCCCCACACUGGUACUGAGACACGGACCAGACUCCUACGGGAGGCAGCAGUGAGGAAUAUUGGUCAAUGGGCGAGAGCCUGAACCAGCCAAGUCGCGUGAAGGAAGACGGUUCUAUGAAUUGUAAACUUCUUUUGUAGAGGAAUAAAGUGGGUUACGUGUAGCCUUUUGUAUGUACUUUACGAAUAAGGAUCGGCUAACUCCGUGCCAGCAGCCGC